RNAcentral lists this microRNA precursor (190 nucleotides) under Oryza glumipatula. RNAcentral's name for it is "MIR812 microRNA precursor family". It matches the Rfam family "MIR812 microRNA precursor family". The record is from Rfam by way of RNAcentral. Lineage: Eukaryota; Viridiplantae; Streptophyta; Magnoliopsida; Poales; Poaceae.
UUUAAGUUCAGUUGUAAUUUCUGUCCAAUGCUUGACCAUUCGUUAUAUUUGAAUUUUGUUAUGAUUAGUGUUUUUUUAUUAGAUGAUAAAACAUGAAUAUUAUUUUAUGUGUGAUUUUUUUAAUUUUUUUAUUUUUUUAAAUAAGAUGGACGGUUAAACAUACACACAGAAACUGAUAGCUGCACUCAAA